Molecule: ribosomal RNA, 311 nt
Filed under: uncultured eukaryote
Lineage: Eukaryota
Description: partial 18S ribosomal RNA
Rfam family: Eukaryotic small subunit ribosomal RNA
Source: RNAcentral
CCCCUAGACGUUCUGGGCUGCACGCGCGCUACAAUAAUACGCACAGCGAGUAUCACCGAGCUCGAAAGGGCAAGGUAAACAAUAGAAAAGGUACUGUAAUGGUUAUAGAUCCUUGUAAUUAUUGAUCUUCAACGAGGAAUUCCUAGUAAGUAUGUGUCAUCAUCACGCACUGAUUACGCCCCUGCCCUUUGUACACACCGCCCGUCGCUCCUACCGAUUGGGUGAGCCGAUGAAACUCUCGGAUGUAGGCUAUUCAUAGCCCGCAGAAGAGAUUUGAAUCGUNGNGCUUAGNGGAAGGAGAANUCGUANCA